This 472-nucleotide ribosomal RNA is filed under the name uncultured bacterium. RNAcentral's name for it is "partial 16S ribosomal RNA". It matches the Rfam family "Bacterial small subunit ribosomal RNA", at positions 28 to 507 of the family's 1533-position model. The record is from RNAcentral.
GACGAACGCUGGCGGCGUGCUUAACACAUGCAAGUCGAACGAUGAACCCGGAGCUUGCUCUGGGGGAUUAGUGGCGAACGGGUGAGUAACACGUGAGUAACCUGCCCUGGACUCUGGGAUAAGCGUUGGAAACGACGUCUAAUACCGGAUAGGACCUUGGAUCGCAUGAUCUGGGGUGGAAAGUUUUUUCGGUCUGGGAUGGACUCGCGGCCUAUCAGCUUGUUGGUGAGGUAAUGGCUCACCAAGGCGUCGACGGGUAGCCGGCCUGAGAGGGUGACCGGCCACACUGGGACUGAGACACGGACCAGGCUCCUGCGGGAGGCAGCAGUGGGGAAUAAUGCACAAUGAGCGAAAGCCUGAUGCAGCAACGCCGCGUGCGGGAUGACGGCCUUCGGGUUGUAAACCGCUUUUAGUAGGGAAGAAGGGCUUCGGCUUGACGGUACCUGCAGAAAAAGGACCGGCUAACUACGUG